RNAcentral lists this ribosomal RNA (758 nucleotides) under uncultured fungus. RNAcentral's name for it is "eukaryotic LSU rRNA". The stretch from base 329 to 482 matches the Rfam family "5.8S ribosomal RNA". The record is from RNAcentral. Lineage: Eukaryota; Fungi.
AAGUCGUAACAAGGUUUCCGUAGGUGAACCUGCGGAAGGAUCAUUAUUGAAUACGCUGGUCUCUGAUGCUGGCCCUUCACUGGGCAUGUGCUCGAGCCAACUAUUUAUCUUCUCUUGUGCACCUUUUGUAGUCUUUUGAAAAUAGAAGUGAACCCUCGCAGCAAUGCGGUCUGGGGGACUGGGCCUUACCCGCUCUUCCCCUGCUUGCUUCUUCGCAGCGUCUGCGUAACCUGCUCGCGCCCCUGUGUUUCAAAAGGCUAUGUUUUAACAUACACUAUAAAGUUACAGAAUGUCUUUUAAAGGCUGCUUGCAGUCAUUAAACCUAUACAACUUUCAGCAACGGAUCUCUUGGCUCUCCCAUCGAUGAAGAACGCAGCGAAAUGCGAUAAGUAAUGUGAAUUGCAGAAUUCAGUGAAUCAUCGAAUCUUUGAACGCACCUUGCGCCCUUUGGUAUUCCGAAGGGCAUGCCUGUUUGAGUGUCAUUAAAUUAUCAACCUUGCUUGCUUUUACUAGCUCGCUUGGCUUGGAUGUGGGGGUUUGCUGGCUUCCUUCAGUGGAUGGUCUGCUCCCCUUAAAUGCAUUAGUGGGAUCUCUUGUGGACCGUCACUUGGUGUGAUAAUUAUCUAUGCCAUAUGACUUUGAAGCAAAUUUUAUGAGAACCUGCUUAUAACCGUCUCUCGCAGCAAUGCGGAUUGGGGGUCUGAGUCCUUUUAUUUGGGGCACUUCCCUUGUCGGACAGCUUUUUUAACAUUUUGACC